This is a long non-coding RNA of Paramisgurnus dabryanus, 573 nucleotides long. RefSeq lists it as uncharacterized. Lineage: Eukaryota; Metazoa; Chordata; Actinopteri; Cypriniformes; Cobitidae. The record is from RefSeq and is a predicted model, not a curated record.
UUGGUGCGGGCCGGAUGUGCGUCAUCUGUUCUGUGCCUGCGCUCUUCCUGUUUACCGGCAUUCAACAGAGGUCUGUGGUUAAAACACAGCCGUGUGGACAUUCUAACACCGCUUGUGUCAUUUUGUGGGGCUUUGUGUACACUGAAGAGUCUAUUGUAAACAACCGUUACGUGCGGUCUGGCUCGUUACACUGCCUAGUCCCAGGUACGUAAGAUUUAAUAUAUUGCCAGAGGUUUUAGGUGAUGUGGUGUGGGGGUCAGCUAUGUUUAUCUUUACUGCAGCAUUCCCGUGUGUUUACCGUUUGAGUUGGGUUAUCCAAUAUAUGCUGUUUGGCAUCUACUUCAUUUCUAUCCCGUGGAUACUGACGUCAGCUCUGCUUUUUGGUGUGGCAAGCGGCUGCGUUAUUUGGAGCUGUGUGUCCGACGGCAGUGAGGCUUUCCUUCACCGUGUGCUGUGUUAUGCUGUGUGAGCACCACUGAUAAAAUCACGGGUAUUGGAGUGAGUGUGUGUGUGCGUGUGUGCACUUAGUGUGAUUCUCCUCUUUUGCUCCCUCUCUUAGCCCAUCUGAUGCCA